CUGGUUGAUCCUGCCAGUAGCAUAUGCUUGUUUCAAAGGCUAAGCCAUGCACGUCUAAGUACAUACUUUCAAUACAAGUGAAACCGCGAAUGGCUCAUUAAAUCAGUUACAGUUCCUUGGGGCCUGAUUCAUUUCAUCAUGAAAUACACGGAUAACUGUGGUAAUUCUAGAGCUAAUACGUGCCCAAAAGGGGACUCUUACGAGUUUCUGCGUUUGUUAGCCUAAAAGCCACUGGUGUUGUUAGCUCACAAGGCAAGCAACACCACUCCAAACAGGAACAAAAACAACCACGCUGAUCCUAUUGCCUUUGUGCAAAGGACGUACCCAGCAAGUGUCUGCCUUAUCAACUUUCGAUGGUACUCUAUACGGCUACCAUGGUGAUCACGGGUAACGGGGAAUCAGAGUUCGAUUCCGGAGAGGGAGCCUGAGAAACGGCUACCACAUCCAAGGAAGGCAGCAGGCACGCAAAUUACCCACUCCCGGAUAGGGGAGGUAGUGACGAAAAAUAACAAUGCGAGACUCUUAAGAGGCCUCGUAAUUGGAAUGAGAAAAGUUUAAAUACCUCAUACGAGGAUCAAUUGGAGGGCAAGUCUGGU
This 596-nucleotide ribosomal RNA is filed under the name uncultured eukaryote. RNAcentral's name for it is "bacterial SSU rRNA". It matches the Rfam family "Eukaryotic small subunit ribosomal RNA", at positions 4 to 565 of the family's 1831-position model. The record is from RNAcentral.